Non-coding RNA from Ataeniobius toweri, 84 nucleotides. Lineage: Eukaryota; Metazoa; Chordata; Actinopteri; Cyprinodontiformes; Goodeidae. The record is from the annotation of a GenBank genome assembly.
UGCACGGUGGUGCAGUUGGUAGCACUGCUGCCUUUGCAGCAAAAAGGUCCUGGGUUCAACUCCUGGCCUGAGGUCUUUCUGCAU